AGGGCGCAUGGCGGAUGCCUUGGCUCUCGGAGGCGAUGAAGGACGUGAUAAGCUGCGAUAAGCUUCGGGUAGGUGCAAAUGACCUUUGAUCCGAAGAUUUCCGAAUGGGACAACCCGGCAUUCUGAAGGAAUGUCAUCCAACUUGGUUGGAGGCUAACGCAGGGAACUGAAACAUCUUAGUACCUGCAGGAAAAGAAAAUAAAUAAUGAUUCCCCUAGUAGUGGCGAGCGAACGGGGAUUAGCCCAAACCACCCAUGUUACGGCAUGUGUGGGGUUGUAGGACCACGCUCUCGCAAGACAGUUAUUGAGAAGAAACGGCUGGAAAGUCGUGCCAUAGACGGUGAUAGCCCGGUAUUCUAAGGUAACCGAAGCGUAGUGGUAUCCUGAGUAGCGCGGAGCACGAGGAAUUCUGCGUGAAUCAGCCGGGACCAUCCGGUAAGGCUAAAUACUCCCGAGAGACCGAUAGCGAACCAGUACCGUGAGGGAAAGGUGAAAAGAACCCCGAGCAGGGGAGUGAAAUAGACCCUGAACCCGUCUGCCUACAAGCGGUCGGAGCAUCGUCAAGAUGUGACGGCGUGCCUUUUGCAUAAUGAACCUACGAGUUACCUUCCCCGGCAAGGUUAAGUACCUAAGGUACGGAGCCGAAGCGAAAGCGAGUCUGAAGAGGGCGGCCAGUCGGGGGGGGUAGACGCGAAACCGAGUGAUCUACCCUUGGCCAGGUUGAAGGUUGGGUAACACCAACUGGAGGACCGGAUGGGUAAGCGUUGAAAAGCUUUCCAAUGAGCUGAGGGUAGGGGUGAAAGGCUAAUCAAACUCGGAGAUAGCUCGUACUCCCCGAAAUGCAUUUAGGUGCAGCCUCUUUAUAGUAUAUCGUGAGGUAGAGCGACUGAUUGGAUGCGAGGGCUUCACCGCCUAUCAAGUCCAGAUAAACUCCGAAUGCGCGAUAUAUAUUUACAGGGAGUGAGGGCGCGGGUGCUAAGGUCCGUGUCCGAGAGGAGAAGAAUCCAGACCACCGGCUAAGGCCCCCAAAUGAUCGUUGAGUUGAACUAACGAGGUCGGAUCGCAGAGACAGCUAGGAUGUUGGCUUGGAAGCAGCCAUUCAUUUAAAGAGUGCGUAACAGCUCACUAGUCGAGCGAUCUGGCGUGGAUAAUAAUCGGGCAUAAACGAUCUGCCGAAGCCGUGGAUGUCGUAAGACAUGGUAGGGGAGCAUUCCAUGCGGCGUCGAAGAUAAGGGAUGACCCUUGUUGGAGCGCAUGGAAAAGCAAAUGUAGGUAUGAGUAACGAUAAGGGGGGCGAGAAACCCCCCCGCCGAAAGACCAAGGUUUCCUGAUCAACGCUAAUCGGAUCAGGGUGAGUCGGGACCUAAGGCAAAGCCGAACGGCGACGCCGAUGGAAGAAUGGGUUAAUAUUCCCAUACUGCCUCAUGGAGUGACGUGGAGACGGAGAAGUGACAGUCCUGCCGGCUGACGGAAUAGCCGGUUGAAGGGUGUAGAUAUUGAUUCCCGUAGGCAAAUCCGCGGGGAGAGUCGAACCUGAGAGUAUACCGAGUACUUGUACGAGGUAAUAUGGACGUAACCAUGCUCCCAAGAAAAUCCGCUAAACUUAUCCAUGCGGCACCCGUACCGUAAACGGACACACGUGGUCGGGUUGAGAAUACUGAGGCGCUCGAGUGACUCACGGUUAAGGAACUAGGCAAAUUGACCCUGUAACUUCGGGAUAAAGGGUCCUCGUCGUAAGGCGAGGCGCAGAGAAUAGGUCCAGGCAACUGUUUAACAAAAACACAUGGCUGUGCUAAAUGGAAACAUGACGUAUACAGCCUGACACCUGCCCGGUGCUGGAAGGUUAAGAGGAGAUGUCAUCGCAAGAGAAGCGUUGAAUUGAAGCCCCAGUAAACGGCGGCCGUAACUAUAACGGUCCUAAGGUAGCGAAAUUCCUUGUCGGGUAAGUUCCGACCUGCACGAAUGGUGUAAUGAUCUGGACACUGUCUCAACCGUGAGCUCAGUGAAAUUGUAGUAUCGGUGAAGAUGCCGAUUACCCGCGAUGGGACGAAAAGACCCCGUGAACCUUUACUAUAGCUUUACAUUGAAUUUGGGCAGACGAUGUGUAGGAUAGGCCGGAGGCUUUGAAGGGGGUACGCCAGUAUCCUUGGAGCCGCCGUUGAAAUACGGCCCUUCGGUUGUUUGAGUUCUAACUCCUAGGCAGGAGGACACUGUAUGGUGGGUAGUUUGACUGGGGUGGUCGCCUCCAAAAGCGUAACGGAGGCUUCUAAAGGUGCCCUCAGACCGAUUGGUAACCGGUCGUAGAGUGUAAUGGCAUAAGGGCGCUUGACUGGGAGAGAUACAACUCGAUCAGGUAGGAAACUAGAGCAUAGUGAUCCGGUGGUUCCGCAUGGAAGGGCCAUCGCUCAAAGGAUAAAAGGUACUCCGGGGAUAACAGGCUGAUCAUUCCCAAGAGCUCAUAUCGACGGAAUGGUUUGGCACCUCGAUGUCGGCUCGUCACAUCCUGGGGCUGGAGAAGGUCCCAAGGGUUGGGCUGUUCGCCCAUUAAAGUGGCACGCGAGCUGGGUUCAGAACGUCGUGAGACAGUUCGGUCUCUAUCUAUCGUGGGCGCAGGAGAUUUGAGGGGCUCUGACACUAGUACGAGAGGACCGUGUUGGACGUACCACUGGUUUACCGGUUGUCCCGCCAGGGGCACCGCCGGGUAUCUAAGUACGGAUCGGAUAAGUGCUGAAAGCAUCUAAGUACGAAGCCGGCCUCAAGAUUAGAUCUCCCUGAAGGGUGGUUAUAGACGAUGACCUUGA
This 2801-nucleotide ribosomal RNA is filed under the name human gut metagenome. Its description in RNAcentral is "bacterial LSU rRNA". It matches the Rfam family "Bacterial large subunit ribosomal RNA". The record is from RNAcentral.